CGGGGGGGGGUGCCUAUACAUGCAAGUCGAGCGAACUGAUUAGAAGCUUGCUUCUAUGACGUUAGCGGCGGACGGGUGAGUAACACGUGGGCAACCUGCCUGUAAGACUGGGAUAACUUCGGGAAACCGAAGCUAAUACCGGAUAGGAUCUUCUCCUUCAUGGGAGAUGAUUGAAAGAUGGUUUCGGCUAUCACUUACAGAUGGGCCCGCGGUGCAUUAGCUAGUUGGUGAGGUAACGGCUCACCAAGGCAACGAUGCAUAGCCGACCUGAGAGGGUGAUCGGCCACACUGGGACUGAGACACGGCCCAGACUCCUACGGGAGGCAGCAGUAGGGAAUCUUCCGCAAUGGACGAAAGUCUGACGGAGCAACGCCGCGUGAGUGAUGAAGGCUUUCGGGUCGUAAAACUCUGUUGUUAGGGAAGAACAAGUACGAGAGUAACUGCUCGUACCUUGACGGUACCUAACCAGAAAGCCACGGCUAACUACGUGCCAGCAGCCGCGGUAAUACGUAGGUGGCAAGCGUUAUCCGGAAUUAUUGGGCGUAAAGCGCGCGCAGGCGGUUUCUUAAGUCUGAUGUGAAAGCCCACGGCUCAACCGUGGAGGGUCAUUGGAAACUGGGGAACUUGAGUGCAGAAGAGAAAAGCGGAAUUCCACGUGUAGCGGUGAAAUGCGUAGAGAUGUGGAGGAACACCAGUGGCGAAGGCGGCUUUUUGGUCUGUAACUGACGCUGAGGCGCGAAAGCGUGGGGAGCAAACAGGAUUAGAUACCGUGGGUAGUCCAAAAA
Molecule: ribosomal RNA, 785 nt
Filed under: Priestia megaterium
Lineage: Bacteria; Bacillati; Bacillota; Bacilli; Caryophanales; Bacillaceae
Description: bacterial SSU rRNA
Rfam family: Bacterial small subunit ribosomal RNA
Source: RNAcentral